This 689-nucleotide long non-coding RNA is filed under the name Trifolium pratense (red clover). RNAcentral describes it as "long non-coding RNA (TPRA_LNC009619)". Lineage: Eukaryota; Viridiplantae; Streptophyta; Magnoliopsida; Fabales; Fabaceae. The record is from RNAcentral.
GGGUUUUAGGUUGAAGAUGGAUGAAUAUUGAGUUGAUGAAGAUGAAGAUAGAUAAAAAUUGGGUUGAAGAGAUGAAUGAAACAAUUUUUUUUUCUCAUUUUUGUUUUAUUCCCUAACAAAAUUAAUUAAAAUAAUUUAUUUAUGAUGAUUCAUCAAAACCUUGCCUAGUCAGGCUCUCUUGAACACGGUGUCAGCCAAACCAUAUGUCACAGUCUAAUAUAAUGACAAGAUUAAUGAGGGACGAAAAUCAAUGGGUUUAAAUUUUACAGGAUAAAACAGACGUUUUUUUUUCUUCAAGGACUAGAACUUAAAAAAUUCGCUAAUAUUUGAAGGAUUAAAAACACAUUUUGCACUUUCUAUUUUUUGCCCCUAUCUGUCAUGAAAUGCUAUAGAAAAAUAAUAAUAUAAUGUUUCCCUAUUGCUAUUGAGCUAGCUAAAUAGGCAAAUUGAUUACAACAACACAUUUUAUAAUUAUAAUUAUUAAUUAUAAAAUGGUUUAUUGAAGAUCUAUAAGUGCCAAAAAUAUUUAUUUAAACAAAUAAACAAAACUCAGAACUUUUACAACAUAAACUGAUCAAUAAAUUGCUAUCUAUAGCAAGGUUUGUAAAAAAAAUUAUGGCUGAAAAUAUUAAGUUUGUUUAUUUAACAUUCUUUUUUAUUUCCUUGUUUCUUGUUGUAACUGACGUUAG